This 255-nucleotide ribosomal RNA is filed under the name uncultured bacterium. Its description in RNAcentral is "partial 16S ribosomal RNA". It matches the Rfam family "Bacterial small subunit ribosomal RNA", at positions 524 to 777 of the family's 1533-position model. The record is from RNAcentral.
CACGUAGGGGGCGAGCGUUGUCCGGAUUUAUUGGGCGUAAAGAGCUCGUAGGCGGCUCGGUAAGUGAGGUGUGAAAACUCCAGGCUCAACCUGGAGACGCCACCUCAUACUGCCGUGGCUAGAGUCCGGUAGGGGAGCAUGGAAUUCCUGGUGUAGCGGUGAAAUGCGCAGAUAUCAGGAGGAACACCAGUGGCGAAGGCGGCUUCCUGGCCUGUUCUUGACGCUGAGGCGCGAAAGCUAGGGGAGCAAACGGGG